GUGCCAGCAGCCGCGGUAAUACGUAGGUGGCAAGCGUUGUCCGGAUUUAUUGGGCGUAAAGCGAGCGCAGGCGGUUUCUUAAGUCUGAUGUGAAAGCCUUCGGCUCAACCGAAGAAGUGCAUCGGAAACUGGGAAACUUGAGUGCAGAAGAGGACAGUGGAACUCCAUGUGUAGCGGUGAAAUGCGUAGAUAUAUGGAAGAACACCAGUGGCGAAGGCGGCUGUCUGGUCUGUAACUGACGCUGAGGCUCGAAAGCAUGGGUAGCAAACAGGAUUAGAUACCCUGGUAGUCCAUGCUGUAAACGAUGAGUGCUAGGUGUUGGAGGGUUUCCGCCCUUCAGUGCCGCAGCUAACGCAUUAAGCACUCCGCCUGGGGAGUACGACCGCAAGGUUGAAACUCAAAGGAAUUGACGGGGGCCCGCACAAGCGGUGGAGCAUGUGGUUUAAUUCGAAGCAACGCGAAGAAUCUUACCAGGUCUUGACAUCCUUUGACCACUCUAGAGAUAGAGCUUUCCCUUCGGGGACAAAGUGACAGGUGGUGCAUGGUUGUCGUCAGCUCGUGUCGUGAGAUGUUGGGUUAAGUCCCGCAACGAGCGCAACCCUUAUUACUAGUUGCCAGCAUUUAGUUGGGCACUCUAGUGAGACUGCCGGUGACAAACCGGAGGAAGGUGGGGACGACGUCAAAUCAUCAUGCCCCUUAUGACCUGGGCUACACACGUGCUACAAUGGAUGGUACAACGAGUUGCGAGACCGCGAGGUUUAGCUAAUCUCUUAAAACCAUUCUCAGUUCGGAUUGUAGGCUGCAACUCGCCUACAUGAAGCCGGAAUCGCUAGUAAUCGCGGAUCAGCAUGCCGCGGUGAAUACGUUCCCGGGCCUUGUACACACCGCCCGU
This 892-nucleotide ribosomal RNA is filed under the name uncultured bacterium. RNAcentral's name for it is "bacterial SSU rRNA". It matches the Rfam family "Bacterial small subunit ribosomal RNA", at positions 505 to 1397 of the family's 1533-position model. The record is from RNAcentral.